Molecule: long non-coding RNA, 396 nt
Filed under: Elaeis guineensis (African oil palm)
Lineage: Eukaryota; Viridiplantae; Streptophyta; Magnoliopsida; Arecales; Arecaceae
Description: long non-coding RNA (EGUI_LNC001628)
Source: RNAcentral
ACCUGAAGAGGAGGAGGUGGACCUCCUCCUGUUGCUGUUGCUGCUGCUGCUGCUCCCGUUGUUGUUGGCCGAGGAGGAGGAAGUGGAGGUGGACGAGGAGGAGGAGAGGUAGAGGAAGGACCAGAAGCUCUUCUUCCGGGGGCUGUCCACGGCGUCCACAAUGCCACUACCUCCCUCCGUUGAGAGUCCCCCAACUGGCCUCGGAGCCACGGAUUUGCUCCUCUUCAAGGUGAGAAGGUUGUUGACCGCCGAGGAGGAGGAGGAGGACGACGAUGAGGUGAUGGUGGUGCUGGACGCCAUCACCUUCCUGCUGCUGCCGCUGCCGACGUAGCUGCUGCUCUUCUUCUUCUUGUGUGCGGCUGCAAGGAAGGGGAUCCUGGUCCGGCUCCCACCGCC